RNAcentral lists this ribosomal RNA (253 nucleotides) under uncultured bacterium. Its description in RNAcentral is "partial 16S ribosomal RNA". It matches the Rfam family "Bacterial small subunit ribosomal RNA", at positions 524 to 776 of the family's 1533-position model. The record is from RNAcentral.
UACGGAGGGAGCUAGCGUUGUUCGGAAUUACUGGGCGUAAAGCGCACGUAGGCGGCUUUGUAAGUUAGAGGUGAAAGCCCGGGGCUCAACCCCGGAAUUGCCUUUAAGACUGCAUCGCUUGAAUCCGGGAGAGGUGAGUGGAAUUCCGAGUGUAGAGGUGAAAUUCGUAGAUAUUCGGAAGAACACCAAUGGCGAAGGCAGAUCUCUGGGCCGUAACUGACGCUGAGGAGCGAAAGCAUGGGGAGCGAACAGG